This 446-nucleotide ribosomal RNA is filed under the name uncultured bacterium. RNAcentral describes it as "bacterial SSU rRNA". It matches the Rfam family "Bacterial small subunit ribosomal RNA", at positions 329 to 792 of the family's 1533-position model. The record is from RNAcentral.
UUCCAGACUCCUACGGGAGGCAGCAGUGGGGAAUAUUGCACAAUGGGGGAAACCCUGAUGCAGCGACGCCGCGUGAGUGAGGAAGUAUUUCGGUAUGUAAAGCUCUAUCAGCAGGGAAGAAAAUGACGGUACCUGACUAAGAAGCCCCGGCUAACUACGUGCCAGCAGCCGCGGUAAUACGUAGGGGGCAAGCGUUAUCCGGAUUUACUGGGUGUAAAGGGAGCGUAGACGGAAUAGCAAGUCUGAUGUGAAAACCCGGGGCUCAACUCCGGGAGUGCAUUGGAAACUGUUGAUCUAGAGUGUCGGAGAGGCAAGCGGAAUUCCUAGUGUAGCGGUGAAAUGCGUAGAUAUCGCGCAGAACUCCGAUUGCGAAGGCAGCAUGCCGGCUCCACACUGACGCUGAGGCACGAAAGCGUGGGUAUCGAACAGGAUUAGAUACCCUAGUA